Molecule: ribosomal RNA, 485 nt
Filed under: uncultured bacterium
Lineage: Bacteria
Description: bacterial SSU rRNA
Rfam family: Bacterial small subunit ribosomal RNA
Source: RNAcentral
GCAGUCGAGCGGACCGAAGGGAGCUUGCUCCUUUAGGUUAGCGGCGGACGGGUGAGUAACACGUGGGCAACCUGCCCUGCAGACUGGGAUAACUUCGGGAAACCGGAGCUAAUACCGGAUAACACCGAAAACCGCAUGGUUUUCGGUUGAAAGGCGGCUUUUAGCUGUCACUGCAGGAUGGGCCCGCGGCGCAUUAGCUAGUUGGUGAGGUAACGGCUCACCAAGGCGACGAUGCGCAGCCGACCUGAGAGGGUGACCGGCCACACUGGGACUGAGACACGGCCCAGACUCCUACGGGAGGCAGCAGUAGGGAAUCUUCCGCAAUGGACGAAAGUCUGACGGAGCAACGCCGCGUGAGCGAAGAAGGUCUUCGGAUCGUAAAGCUCUGUUGUCAGGGAAGAACAAGUGCCGUUCGAACAGGGCGGUACCUUGACGGUACCUGACGAGGAAGCCACGGCUAACUACGUGCCAGCAGCCGCGGUAAU